UACGUAGGGAGCAAGCGUUGUUCGGAUUUACUGGGCGUAAAGGGCGCGUAGGCGGCGCGGUAAGUCACUUGUGAAAUCUCUGAGCUUAACUCAGAACGGCCAAGUGAUACUGCAGUGCUAGAGUGUGGAAGGGGCAAUCGGAAUUCUUGGUGUAGCGGUGAAAUGCGUAGAUAUCAAGAGGAACACCUGAGGUGAAGACGGGUUGCUGGGCCAACACUGACGCUGAGGCGCGAAAGCCAGGGGAGCAAACGGG
RNAcentral lists this ribosomal RNA (253 nucleotides) under uncultured bacterium. RNAcentral's name for it is "partial 16S ribosomal RNA". It matches the Rfam family "Bacterial small subunit ribosomal RNA", at positions 524 to 776 of the family's 1533-position model. The record is from RNAcentral.